GGCACUCAAUAAAUUAUCUUGCUAAACCAACUAUGAUGUAAACCAACUUAUCAAGAUGAAUUAUCUUGAAUAGAGCACUCAAUAAUUAUCUUGCUAAACCAACUUUGAUAUAAACCAACUUAUCAAGAUGAACUAUCUUGAGUAGAAAAUCUAAAAAUUAUGCUCGAAAUUAGAUUACUGAGCAAGUUACCUCGCAAGCACCGGCCAGGUUGCAGGUUAAUAAUAAUCGCACAUGUAACCUUCUCAUAGAUGCAUCUUAUGUGGUAUACAUGGAAGGUGAAUGGCCCCAUAUUCACCUUUGAUAUUCUCAGAAUUUAUGGGAUUGAACCCCAACUUUAGUGGUCAAUUAAUUAAUGAGAACAAGUAAUACAAGAGAAUUCGUAAAGAAAUUUCUAGUUCUUUAAUAGUUACCCAUAUGAAUUCUCUGUUAUUGUUGCACAUCAUACUUAAAUUGAUAUGGCUAACCCGAAUGCCAACUGAAUAAAUUAUCAAUAUUGAUAAAUUUCAGGUUUACAUCAUGGCAUGUGCAAUUAUCGGUAAACUCUAAAUUUAUUAUGAUAUGGGUUUUUGUAUCAAUAACAUCCACUUUAUUGUGGCAUUCUUUUGUUUGUAUAGUACAAAUUGGAGAAUAAAGCGGGUAGCUUUUCAUAUACAUAUUAUCCCGCUACAAGUUGUAGUAUUAGAAGAUAUUAAAUGUUUUCUUUAUUUAUAGUCUCAAUAUAAUCAAUCGCUUUCGCGUAUACUUUGGAAACUGAAUACGUUUCAUUGAGACUUACUACAAUACAAUACCUUAUUGGUAAUCAAUGUGUUUUUCCAAAAUAAUAUAAUUGGCUCUUAC
Molecule: long non-coding RNA, 838 nt
Filed under: Nicotiana benthamiana
Lineage: Eukaryota; Viridiplantae; Streptophyta; Magnoliopsida; Solanales; Solanaceae
Description: long non-coding RNA (NBEN_LNC027053)
Source: RNAcentral